GGGGCUGAGGCUCAGUGGUGGAGCACUUGCCUAGCAUGUAUGAGGCACUGGGUUCAACCCUCAGCACCA
This 69-nucleotide transfer RNA is filed under the name Marmota marmota marmota (Alpine marmot). It matches the Rfam family "tRNA". From Rfam's summary of the family: Transfer RNA (tRNA) molecules are approximately 80 nucleotides in length. The record is from Rfam by way of RNAcentral. Lineage: Eukaryota; Metazoa; Chordata; Mammalia; Rodentia; Sciuridae. RNAcentral also lists the same sequence under 1 other name.